Molecule: ribosomal RNA, 494 nt
Filed under: uncultured bacterium
Lineage: Bacteria
Description: partial 16S ribosomal RNA
Rfam family: Bacterial small subunit ribosomal RNA
Source: RNAcentral
GACGAACGCUGGCGGCGUGCUUAACACAUGCAAGUCGAACGGAAAGGCCUGCUUUCCCUUGUGGAUUGCGGGUACUCGAGUGGCGAACGGGUGAGUAACACGUGAGUGAUCUGCCCCCAACUUGGGUAUAAGCCUGGGAAACUGGGUCUAAUUCCCGAUAGGACUGCAGGGUGGUGCCUGUGGUGGAAAACGAUUUUCUAGUGGUUGGGGAUGAGCUCGCGGCCUAUCAGCUUGUUGGUGGGGUAAUGGCCUACCAAGGCGGCGACGGGUAGCCGGCCUGAGAGGGUGGACGGCCACAUUGGGACUGAGAUACGGCCCAGACGCCUACGGGCGGCAGCAGUGGGGAAUAUUGCACAAGGGGCGGAAGCCUGAUGCAGCGACGCCGCGUGGGGGAUGACGGCCUUCGGGUUGUAAACUCCUUUCGACCGCGAGGAAGCCACCUGGUUGGAAGGGUGGUGACGGUAGUGGUAGAAGAAGCACCGGCUAACUACGUG